AAUGGCUACAUUUGUGAUCCAUCCUGCCAUCACUGCUGACUCCAGUGGUAUCUGUGGCUGAUCAGGGAACUGGCUAAAUAUGAAUAUGUGGGAGACCAAGUAAUAUUAACUGAAAAAGAUCUGCUAGAGAGUGGUUUCAGAGAGCAUCCCUUCCACCACUGUGUGGUUGCAGAGAUGCCCAAGAAACACUGGACUCUGGAAAGAAAGAAUUACUGUUGGUUUCACCAUGUACUGUUGUACCUAUGACCCUUGAAUUGGCAAGCUAUUGUACUUCUUUGGAUGAGUAAUGAAAAAGGCUUUGGCAUAAAUCAGAAAUUCUGAAGAAUUUAAGCCAGGUCACAAUGAAGUAUCACUGUAGCACCAUGCACUUCUUAGUAGCAGAAUGAAAUGAACCAUCUGUUAACCUCUACAAAAGAAGAGGUGCCCAGGGAAGACAGCUGGAGACCCUUCAAAACCGACAAGGAGUACUUGCUAAAAAUGG
RNAcentral lists this long non-coding RNA (481 nucleotides) under Homo sapiens (human). RNAcentral describes it as "non-protein coding lnc-INTU-1:1". Lineage: Eukaryota; Metazoa; Chordata; Mammalia; Primates; Hominidae. The record is from RNAcentral.